GGGGAGGCGGGGGGCGCCGGGCAGCCCCGCCUUUUCCCCGCGGAGGCGCCGAGCGGCCAUAUUGCGGAGCUGUCUGCGGUGGCGGCGGCGUCUCUCGUCUCCCGCGGCCCAGCGCUCGCACCACCGCUUCUCCCUCCCUGCCGCAACCGCGCCGCCGCGCAGCGCCCCAGCCACACGCCGGCGGGCAGAAGCCGCCCGCUCUCCGGAAAGUGACAACAGAAUUCAUUGAAGAUUUUUAAAGAAGGUAACGAAAAGAGAAAGAAAAUGCCGAAACCAAUCAAUGUAAGAGUAACCACAAUGGAUGCUGAGCUGGAAUUUGCCAUUCAGCCCAAUACAACUGGCAAACAACUUUUUGACCAGGUGGUGAAAACAGUCGGUUUGCGUGAGGUCUGGUUUUUUGGGCUGCAGUAUGUAGACAGCAAAGGUUAUUCUACGUGGCUUAAACUAAAUAAAAAGGUGACACAGCAGGAUGUUAAAAAAGAGAAUCCUUUACAGUUCAAGUUUAGAGCUAAAUUCUUUCCUGAAGAUGUUUCUGAGGAAUUAAUUCAAGAAAUAACCCAGAGACUUUUCUUCUUGCAAGUUAAAGAAGCCAUCUUAAAUGAUGAGAUAUAUUGCCCUCCAGAAACUGCAGUUCUUUUGGCUUCCUAUGCUGUCCAAGCCAAGUAUGGAGAUUAUAAUAAAGAGAUUCAUAAGCCAGGCUACCUGGCUAAUGAUAGACUGCUACCCCAGCGUGUAUUGGAACAACACAAACUAACAAAAGAACAGUGGGAAGAAAGAAUACAGAACUGGCAUGAAGAACAUAGAGGAAUGUUAAGGGAGGAUUCUAUGAUGGAAUACCUGAAGAUUGCACAAGAUCUAGAAAUGUAUGGAGUCAACUAUUUUGAAAUAAAAAAUAAAAAAGGAACUGAAUUGUGGCUAGGUGUUGAUGCUUUGGGUCUGAAUAUUUAUGAGCAUGAUGACAAGUUAACACCUAAAAUUGGUUUUCCCUGGAGUGAAAUCAGAAAUAUUUCAUUUAAUGACAAAAAAUUUGUUAUAAAGCCAAUCGACAAAAAGGCACCUGAUUUUGUUUUUUAUGCACCUCGUCUGAGAAUCAAUAAGCGGAUUUUGGCCUUAUGUAUGGGAAACCAUGAACUGUACAUGCGAAGAAGGAAGCCUGAUACUAUUGAAGUACAACAGAUGAAAGCUCAGGCUAGGGAGGAGAAACAUCAGAAGCAGUUGGAAAGGGCACAAUUAGAGAAUGAAAAGAAGAAAAGAGAAAUAGCAGAAAAGGAAAAGGAAAGAAUAGAACGUGAAAAGGAAGAGCUAAUGGAACGUCUAAAACAAAUUGAAGAGCAAACAAUUAAAGCCCAGAAAGAACUAGAAGAACAGACUCGAAAAGCUCUAGAACUGGAUCAAGAACGAAAACGAGCAAAAGAAGAAGCAGAACGGCUUGAAAAGGAGCGUCGAGCUGCUGAAGAGGCGAAGUCUGCCAUAGCAAAACAAGCUGCUGACCAGAUGAAGAAUCAGGAGCAGCUAGCAGCAGAACUUGCUGAAUUCACUGCCAAGAUUGCACUUCUAGAAGAAGCCAAGAAGAAAAAGGAAGAGGAAGCUACUGAGUGGCAACACAAAGCUUUUGCAGCCCAGGAAGACUUGGAAAAGACCAAAGAAGAGUUAAAAACUGUGAUGUCUGCCCCUGCUCCACCUCCGCCACCACCAGUCAUUCCUCCAACAGAAAACGAACAUGAUGAACACGAUGAGAAUAAUGCUGAAGCUAGUGCUGAAUUAUCAAAUGAAGGGGUAAUGAACCAUAGAAGCGAGGAAGAACGUGUAACCGAAACACAGAAAAAUGAGCGUGUUAAGAAACAACUUCAGGCAUUAAGUUCAGAAUUAGCCCAAGCCAGAGAUGAAACCAAGAAAACACAAAAUGAUGUUCUUCAUGCUGAGAAUGUUAAAGCAGGCCGUGAUAAGUACAAGACUCUGCGACAGAUUCGACAAGGCAAUACAAAGCAGCGUAUCGAUGAGUUUGAAGCAAUGUGGGGACCCAAACUGUAUGCAUUGUUCCAGAUGCGCUCUUGCCAAAGCAGCAUAAAGCAAAUGUAACCCUUAGGAAGAAGGCUCCCUCCCUCACUAGGUUCUUUCCCAAUAGUUUGCAUCUCUUGGGCUCUUUGCCAAUGAAGAACAUCAUCCUCCAAUUUAAUAAUUUUGAGGCCCCUGGCUACUGACAUAUGGGAAGCUUUAGGAUAAGGACAUACCUGGUGUUCUGAAUGUGUAUAUCCCCCAAAGUCUGCAAUCUCAGCUGGAACUGGAUGGACCAGUAUUCCCUUACCCAGGGCCCUGGCUCAUGGUUCUCUCCUCUUCUCAGUUUACUGUUGGAUUUCCCUUUCUUGCUAUUCUCUUUCUCUCCAGACCCCUCUCAAUUGCUUUUCCUAAAGACAGACCUUAGCAAGAUGGGCCAGGACUUGGGACUUCGCACGGCACCCUGCAGUCCCAAGCCAGCAUCUACUGUACCCCAUCUUCAAGACUCUAUCCCCCAAACAGAUGCUGGAAGGCAUCAGCUUCUGAUAACCCACUUUUUUCUGCAUGACUAGCUUGUAAGGAAGAAUCUGUGGAGAGGAUUUCCAAGAAUUUCCCACUUUUUCAAAAAAUGUAUGUGACUUACAUUUGGCUUCAAUCCAAGAGCAAACUCAGUGGUGAACAGCUCCAUUUCUGUGCACAUGUUGGUGGAAUCUGCAGAAAUCGAUGCAACAUUUCUUUCCUGUCUGGGCUGUUUGUAUAAUUGUAUAUAAAUGUAGCAAUAAAUAUAUUCUAACAUCA
Molecule: RNA transcript, 2793 nt
Organism: Symphalangus syndactylus (siamang)
Lineage: Eukaryota; Metazoa; Chordata; Mammalia; Primates; Hylobatidae
Gene: RDX
Gene name: radixin
Source: RefSeq, a predicted model, not a curated record